CUUUCUGAUAGGCCCUGAGCUGCCCUGCUCUGGGAGAAGGACCAAGGUCAGCAUGGCCAAUGACCUUAUCUCGGCCAUUCUUGGAAGCCUUUCUGAACCUCUCAGCUAGGAACCCUGGGAGUUUCUGAAGUGGCUUUUCCCUCUGGGGAUCUGCUUUCUGUGGAUGGUUUUCACACAGUGGCCGUGAGACAGCCAGAAUCUGGCUAUCUCAGCUCAGCCAUUGGCUUCGGCAGGAAGCCUCGAUUUUUUUUCAGCUAUGAAAUGGGAAAGAUGACACUGGCCCUGCUGUCCCCACAGGAAUGUGGCAAGCUCAAGUGGAAUACAGUGUUCAGAGGAUUUACAAAAGUGCAAAGUGUCACAUAACAGUGAAGACCAGCAAGGCUUGAGCUCAACUCAAAGAACUCUACCAAGUGCUGGCCUCAUGCCAGGCAGCAUCUGGGCACCAGAGACACAGAGACGAGUGGGAGAGACACUCUCCCGCCCUCUUGGAGCUCAGCGCUCUGCCGGCUGCUUGGAGGAGACAACAGCCAGUACCAACACCACAGUGACUAGAACAGCUUCCCUCCCUGAGUGCUUCCUGUGACCCAGGCUUGAGCUAAGUAUUCACAUACAUUGAGUCCUUAAACAACUCUGCCAGGUGGGCAUGGCUCCACCAGACCUUAUGUGCAAUGGUCUCAGUUUUGCAGAUGAGGAAACCAAGACUCUGUGGGAUGAAGUCAUUUACCCGUAGGGUCAAGUAGGACAUCUGAUUUCAAAACCAAGUGUUCUUCUCCACCCACACCUUGAAAUGUUUUUAUAAUUUUUUUAAAUUUAGUUUUAUUAGUUAUACAUGACAUUAGAAUGCACUUUGUUAUACUAUAUAUAAUGGAGUAUGAUUUCUCAUUCUUCUGGUUGUGCAUGAUAUAGAAUCCCACUGAUCGUAUAGUCAUAUAUGUACAUAGGGUAAUAAUGUCUGAUAUUCAUUCUACUAUCCUUCCUAACCCCAAAACCCCUCCCCUCUAUUCACUCUGCUCUACCCAAUCCAAAGUAGCUAUAUUCUUUCCUAGCUCACCACCCCGCCAUUAUGAACUAGCAUCCGCAUAUCAGAGAAAACAUUUCGGCUUUUGGUUUUCUGGGAUUGGCUUAUUUCACUUAGUAUGAUAUUCUCCAGCUCCAUUCAUUUUACCAGCAAAUGCCAUAAUUUCAUUUUGCUUUAAGGCUGGGUAAUAUUCUAUUGUGUAUCUAUUGCAUUUUCUUUAUCCAUUCAUCUGUUGAAGGACACCUAAGUUGAUGCCAUAGUUUAGCUACUGUGAAUUGAGCUGCUGUAAACAUGGAUAAGGCUGUGUCACUGUAAUUCGAAAUGUUUUAAUGUCUCCCUUUACAGCCUUCAGCAGCAGAACUCAGAGCUCCAUGCUUCACUGUAUCUGUAGGUAAGGAGACAUGCGCAUGUGUUGUCUCCGUCUUGUCCCUGGCCAUAUCACACCAUCAGUCGUAGGUGGCAAACCCUCCCUGGGCCUUCUCCCAGCUCUCCCCAGGCCGUGUGUAAACUGGGACAAGGCAUGACCCGCUCUGCCCUUCAGCUCAUCUAUGAAACAAAGGACAUGGGUGAGAUGGUCCUGCAGGUCCUCCCUGCUCAAACCCCUGGGAUAUAGUCAGCGAAGCCUGUGUCUCCACCUGGAUGAGGAGCCAGGGAGUUGCAGAACUGUUUCAGCUCAGCUGUGGGAACUUGGUAAAGUCAGUAACCUAUCUGGCCUCUAUUUCUCCAUCUGUGAACUGGGAGCAAAAUGUAUUGGUCUUCCACUCCAGAGGCUUGGAGGAAGGAUCAAACAAAACAGAGGCCCUGAAAGAGUUUUGAAACUGCUCUAAUAUCGUGGGUGGGUGUUACUACUCCUAAUUAUCACUGAGGGGGAAAGGAGGCCCCAGAAAGUGACCAGAGGGGAAGGAGCAAGCCCACCCGGGAACCUUGGCAUCCCCUAAGCCAUGCGUGAGGAGGCUCAACUUCCCUCUGCCGAACAUCAGCACCUGUGGGCAGGUGUUUCUGUUGCCUGGUGAGAUAUUUUGAUUACUCCAUGGAGAACAGUCACAGGACACUCCACCAGACCUUAUGUGCAAUGGUCUGAAGUCAAAUAAAAGCAAAUCCUAAUCAUUGAAACUUUGUUUUUUUUAGUUAAAAUAAGCCAAAAGAGUUUAUGGGGGGUGUUGAGGUUAAGAACAUGAGUCAGACACACAGGCUCCAAUCCAUCUCAGUUGUUACUAGUCAACAUGACCUUGGACAUCAAACCUUUCUGGCCUCAGUGUACCCAUGUGAAAAGCAAGAGUAAAACCACUGAUCUCAGAGGGUACCAUGAGCACUUAAUGAGGUUGUGCUUCUGCCAGUCAACAGGAGCUCUGUGGUGAGGGUGGACGCAGGCAGAGGCCCACAUGAGGGCAGCAGACCAGACCCUGAGCAGGCCGUGGGGA
Molecule: long non-coding RNA, 2439 nt
Filed under: Marmota monax (woodchuck)
Lineage: Eukaryota; Metazoa; Chordata; Mammalia; Rodentia; Sciuridae
Source: RNAcentral